CGAUUUUGCCGCAUUUCGUGUGAUUUGGGUAUGGCCAGCCAUUGUAGGAGAUACUGGAAGAACAUGU
This 67-nucleotide ribosomal RNA is filed under the name Schizochytrium aggregatum. RNAcentral describes it as "partial 5.8S ribosomal RNA". Lineage: Eukaryota; Bigyra; Thraustochytrida; Thraustochytriidae. The record is from RNAcentral.